This 437-nucleotide non-coding RNA is filed under the name Pan troglodytes (chimpanzee). Lineage: Eukaryota; Metazoa; Chordata; Mammalia; Primates; Hominidae. The record is from RNAcentral.
GGCGGCUCUUCUUUCUUCCACUCUGAGACAAGAACACAUGCGCUUUUCCUGUAAGUGUUGUCUCCCCAGUUAUUCUGGAGACCAUCCAGAAGAGAAUGAGAAUAAAGAAACCAACAGAAGAAAGAUAAAGAAGGAAGAAUAAAAGAUACCAAAAUGACAGUAUCGCUUGCUUCGGAGAGUUUCACUCUUGUGGCCCAGUCCGGAGUGCAGUGGCACCAUCUCAGCUCAUUGCAACCUCCGCCUCCCCGGUUCAAGCGAUUCUCCUGCCUCAGCCUCCCGAGUAGCUGGGAUUACAGGUACCCGCCACCAUGCCCAGCUAAGUUUUUGUAUUUUUAGUAGAGACGGGGGUUUCACCGUGUUAGCCAGGAUGGUCUUGAUCUCCUGACCUCGUGAUCCGCCUGCCUCGGCCUCCCAAAGUGCUGGGAUUACAGGCGUGA